UGGGGAAUAUUGCACAAUGGGCGCAAGCCUGAUGCAGCGACGCCGCGUGAGGGAUGACGGCCUUCGGGUUGUAAACCUCUUUCAGCAGGGAAGAAGCGAAAGUGACGGUACCUGCAGAAGAAGCGCCGGCUAACUACGUG
Molecule: ribosomal RNA, 140 nt
Filed under: uncultured bacterium
Lineage: Bacteria
Description: partial 16S ribosomal RNA
Rfam family: Bacterial small subunit ribosomal RNA
Source: RNAcentral